Molecule: long non-coding RNA, 829 nt
Organism: Solea senegalensis (Senegalese sole)
Lineage: Eukaryota; Metazoa; Chordata; Actinopteri; Pleuronectiformes; Soleidae
Exons: 2
Source: RefSeq, a predicted model, not a curated record
CAUCACCGUCGCCUUCCUCGUCUUCCAUGUCGGGGACCUGAAGAACAAACACAAGUUAAAGGGCUCUGGAUCUGGCUGCACAAUUAAUUGUCAAACAUCAAAAUCACAAUUUCCAAAUUAAGACACUGGAAUUAUUUGUGGCAAAAACAGAAUUAUGGUGAAAUUAUGUAGUGCUAUAAGAAUUCUCUGGCCCAUAUAAUGAAAUAAUGUCAAAUCAUCGAUAUUUGGAUGGAUUUCCUUACGAAAAUUACAGUUCAGUGUCAAGAAUUCCGAUCAACCCAUCAUUAAUCAACUCCUGAAUUAAUUUUGACAUUUUCGAAAAGCCAUUACAAAUCUAAAAGCUACAGUAUAAAACCGCCCCCAUAUCAGGUCACUUUUCCCCCACUGGCUGCUCCACGUUCUUGUUGAAAACCCUGCGUGCACAUAGACACACACACACGGACAGACUCACCAGGUAGUACUGCAGUGGGUUGGGCCAGAUGUCGUCCUUGAUGACUUCUCCCAGCUCAUCAGCGCCUGCGUCUGAGUGGUCGGUGAACCAGGUGAAGAAGCUCUCGGGCUCCUCGUGCUGCCGCUUCUUCCCGGCUUUGUUUGGCGUCUGACCCGUGCGCUUCGUCAGGUCCUGGAGGUAAACAAAACAAGUUUGUGGAGGUUUCGGUUUAUUUGGCUGUAUUUGUUUUUAAACUGCAGCAGAGUGAAAAGAAUGUGAACCGACCUUUCCGGCUUUCCACUUUAUUUCGCUGGAUUUGGAAACGGGAUCCCCACUCUCGUUCACGUUAAACUCUUUGGAGAGGGACUUGUUCUCGAAGUACGGGUUCUCGUCGAAAAA